GAUGAACGCUGGCGGCGUGCCUAAUACAUGCAAGUCGAGCGAACAGAUGAGGAGCUUGCUCCUCUGACGUUAGCGGCGGACGGGUGAGUAACACGUGGAUAACCUACCUAUAAGACUGGGAUAACUUCGGGAAACCGGAGCUAAUACCGGAUAAUAUAUUGAACCGCAUGGUUCAAUAGUGAAAGACGGUUUUGCUGUCACUUAUAGAUGGAUCCGCGCCGCAUUAGCUAGUUGGUAAGGUAACGGCUUACCAAGGCAACGAUGCGUAGCCGACCUGAGAGGGUGAUCGGCCACACUGGAACUGAGACACGGUCCAGACUCCUACGGGAGGCAGCAGGAGGGAAUCUUCCGCAAUGGGCGAAAGCCUGACGGAGCAACGCCGCGUGAGUGAUGAAGGUCUUCGGAUCGUAAAACUCUGUUAUUAGGGAAGAACAAAUGUGUAAGUAACGAUGCACGUCUUGACGGUACCUAAUCAGAAAGCCACGGCUAACUACGU
This 496-nucleotide ribosomal RNA is filed under the name uncultured bacterium. RNAcentral's name for it is "partial 16S ribosomal RNA". It matches the Rfam family "Bacterial small subunit ribosomal RNA", at positions 28 to 506 of the family's 1533-position model. The record is from RNAcentral.